Long non-coding RNA from Hibiscus syriacus, 677 nucleotides. RefSeq lists it as uncharacterized. The transcript is spliced from 2 exons. The record is from RefSeq and is a predicted model, not a curated record. NCBI's taxonomy places the organism in Eukaryota, Viridiplantae, Streptophyta, Magnoliopsida, Malvales, Malvaceae.
ACAGUUUGGAUUUCUGCUAUGGAUCCAUUUAUCCGUCCCGGGGAGUCAACACAGAUAUACUUGUCGAAACCCUAAAUUUGCCAAACUAUAAUCUCUUGCAACUAUAUAAAUCUCCCCAACCCUACAUCUAAUCCUAAAACAGCCGAUAUCUGAAAUCUCCGCCCCAAGAUCUAAUAGUUCUCCUAAUCUUCGUUAUCUCAUUAGCAUCUAUCUAUGAUCCUCAGUGCUCUUUAUAAAACAAUAGCUCUAGAGGAUACGAAAAGAUGCAAUAUCAAAGGUACUUCUGGACACGCAGUUUCCAGAAUUUGGAUUUGUUUGUAUCUUUUUCCUUAUGGAUUAUUGCGUUUUCUCAUCUCGGAGGUUAGGCGGUUUCUCUUUGGUUUAACGCAAAGUUGCUAUGCUUCUAGUGUUUGAUUUUGGCCUAAUGAUUCUGUUUCCUAGGAGCUGGAGGAUAAUAUCCUCUUCUUUUAGAUUAUGGAGGAAAGCUUUUAUCAAGCUCCAGAAGUACUGGCUGUUUUGUGUUAAAUUUCAGAGGUAAAAUGCUUGCCUUCUUGGUCUUAUAUGUGGAAAAUCUUGGCCUAAUUCUGAGAGCAAUUAAUCAUCACAUAAUUUUCCUUUUUGUUUCAUAUGAGAGAUAUCUUUCCCAUUGUUUGAAAGAAAUUUAUUUGGUCUUGUUA